GCAGUGGUGGUUCCGUGGCAGAAUUCUCACCUUCUGUGCAAGAGACCUGGGUUCGAUCCCCAGGCAAUGCA
RNAcentral lists this transfer RNA (71 nucleotides) under Loxodonta africana (African savanna elephant). It matches the Rfam family "tRNA". From Rfam's summary of the family: Transfer RNA (tRNA) molecules are approximately 80 nucleotides in length. Their secondary structure includes four short double-helical elements and three loops (D, anti-codon, and T loops). The record is from Rfam by way of RNAcentral. Lineage: Eukaryota; Metazoa; Chordata; Mammalia; Proboscidea; Elephantidae.